UGCAUUGAUGUCUUCUGGUCUCUGCCGCGACUCAGAUCACCUUUUUUCUCUGGUUGUGAACCGUCAACACUUGACCUAACCAACGUGCACAGCCAAAAAGAUGAUAAUUAUGAUUCUCAUAUCAGUAUAAAGCAAUCUUAUUGGCAUACCCGCUUGGUAAGACGAUGCAAAAUAUAUACAAGAAUUUUUUUUUGUCUGGGAUUUGUGCGUGCUAGAAGAUCAUGCAGUCUAGAAUACUUGUAAGGAAUAAAGAUUCAGAAUUACUAACCUUGUUAGAUUCAUGAAUUUCUCCAUAACCCUACACCAAGAACUUGUUCUGAAACCCUUUUGUAAUCAAUGGGUCAUGGCUUUGUAGUAAUAAGCUAGGUGGCGUUCAUGAGAAGAAAGAGCGCAGAAGAAAAGGCGAAACCUUGUUUAGGUAUUGCCAUAGGCUGAGGUUUGAAAGGAAAGCAAGCAAGGUUAGAUAUAUACUUGGCAUGUAUUGUCUGGUUUUCAGAAUAAAAAGAAAGUGUCUUUUGGAUGAAGAUUGGUAUUUUCUUUCCUUUCUUUGGAGGCAUUCUCGUUCAAUGUAUUAUUUGAUCUGCUCCACCAUAUAUCAAUAUUAAUCUAAAAAGUAAAUUUUAUUAUUUGAAAGUUUAA
Molecule: long non-coding RNA, 639 nt
Organism: Neltuma alba
Lineage: Eukaryota; Viridiplantae; Streptophyta; Magnoliopsida; Fabales; Fabaceae
Exons: 2
Source: RefSeq, a predicted model, not a curated record